CCUACGGGCGACAGCAGUGAGGAAUAUUGGUCAAUGGACGAGAGUCUGAACCAGCCAUGCCGCGUGCAGGAAGACGGCUCUAUGGGUUGUAAACUUCUUUUAUACGAGGAUAAAACUGGAUAUGUAUAUUCACCUGUAAGUACCGUACGAAUAAGGAUCGGCUAACUCCGUGCCAGCAGCCGCGGUAAUACGGAGGAUCCAAGCGUUAUCCGGAUUUAUUGGGUUUAAAGGGUGCGUAGGUGGAUUGAUAAGUUAGAGGUGAAAUGUUCGGGCUUAACUCGAGAACUGCAUUUAAUACUGGUGGUCUAGAGAAUAGUUGCGGUAGGCGGAAUGCAUGGUGUAGCGGUGAAAUGCUUAGAGAUCACGCAGAACACCGAUUGCGAAGGCAGCUUACCAAUCUACAUCUGACGCUGAUGCACGAAAGUGUGGGGAGCAAACAGGAUUAGAUACCCCAGUAGUC
RNAcentral lists this ribosomal RNA (460 nucleotides) under uncultured bacterium. RNAcentral describes it as "partial 16S ribosomal RNA". It matches the Rfam family "Bacterial small subunit ribosomal RNA", at positions 338 to 795 of the family's 1533-position model. The record is from RNAcentral.